Molecule: ribosomal RNA, 440 nt
Filed under: uncultured bacterium
Lineage: Bacteria
Description: partial 16S ribosomal RNA
Rfam family: Bacterial small subunit ribosomal RNA
Source: RNAcentral
CCUACGGGUGGCUGCAGUGGGGGAUAUUGCACAAUGGAGGGAACUCUGAUGCAGCGACGCCGCGUGAGGGAAGAAGGUUUUCGGAUUGUAAACCUCUUUCUUCGGUGACGAAACGAGACGGUAGCCGAGGAGGAAGCCACGGCUAACUACGUGCCAGCAGCCGCGGUAAUACGUAGGUGGCAAGCUUUGUCCGGAAUUACUGGGUGUAAAGGGAGCGUAGGCGGGAAAGCAAGUUGAAUGUUUAAGGUUCGGGCCAAACCUGUAGAAGAGUCUGAAACUGUUUUUCUUGAGUGGAGAAGAGGCAAGCGGAAUUCCUAGUGUAGCGGUGAAAUGCGUAAAUAUUAGGAGGAACACCAGUGGCGAAGGCGGCUUACUGGGCUUUAACUGACGCUGAGGCUCGAAAGCGUGGGUAGCAAACAGGAUUAGAUACCCUAGUAGUC